Long non-coding RNA from Aphis gossypii (cotton aphid), 456 nucleotides. RefSeq lists it as uncharacterized. The record is from RefSeq and is a predicted model, not a curated record. Lineage: Eukaryota; Metazoa; Arthropoda; Insecta; Hemiptera; Aphididae. The transcript is spliced from 3 exons.
UAUUAUUUAAAUAAUUUAAAUUUAUACUUUAUAUAGGUAUGGAAAUUAUUUGGGAUAUCCAAACAAUAAUCAUCAUAAAAAAUGCAAUAAACAUUAUUCAGUAUUGUGUGCUUGGUGCUUACCCUAGCACUCCGUUGGACUAGUUUUACGCUUGUCCCCAUGUACAUGAUCACCGGUGGCAUUACACUAAUUAAAAUUUUUAUAACCAGAAGCUUUUAAAUAUUAAUCCAACGGUAUUUAUGUCAGUUGUCUGGCGAUUUUACGACCGCAACACAAGCGUAUUAGGGACAAACAAAAUUCGAGAAAAACCUUUGGUCUCGUAAAAAACUAAUUUCGAAGAAUCAAGACACAUGAAAAACUUUUUAACAGCCUAAACUCUCAGUUCAAGAGUGAGAAGUUUUUUAAUAUCUUUUAUUAUGAUAAAUAAUAUUAUAUAUUUUACUAUAAUAAAAUCAA